This 135-nucleotide ribosomal RNA is filed under the name Triticum aestivum (bread wheat). RNAcentral's name for it is "partial small subunit ribosomal RNA". Lineage: Eukaryota; Viridiplantae; Streptophyta; Magnoliopsida; Poales; Poaceae. The record is from RNAcentral.
AUGCACGACCGCAUGGAGUACGCCGUGAUCGGGCCCGACGCUGGUGCGAUGCUCGAGAAUGUCAAGGCAUGGAUCACGGUUUCUAGGACAUCCGUGGCAGAAGGCGGAUCAUCAAACCGUCACAUACCCGCGUAG